CGAAAAGUAGUUUAACCUAAAACAAAAGCUUUGGAGGCUUUGAAUUUACUUUGUAACUUUUUGA
Molecule: transfer RNA, 64 nt
Filed under: Anodonta anatina
Lineage: Eukaryota; Metazoa; Mollusca; Bivalvia; Unionida; Unionidae
Description: tRNA-Pro
Source: RNAcentral